This 303-nucleotide ribosomal RNA is filed under the name uncultured bacterium. RNAcentral's name for it is "bacterial SSU rRNA". It matches the Rfam family "Bacterial small subunit ribosomal RNA", at positions 28 to 332 of the family's 1533-position model. The record is from RNAcentral.
GACGAACGCUGGCGGCGUGCUUAACACAUGCAAGUCGAGCGGUAAGGCCCUUUCGGGGGUACACGAGCGGCGAACGGGUGAGUAACACGUGGGUGACCUGCCCUCAGCUCUGGGAUAAGCCUGGGAAACCGGGUCUAAUACCGGAUAUGACUCCAUGACGCAUGUUGUGGGGUGGAAAGCCUUGUGCGCUGAGGAUGGGCCCGCGGCCUAUCAGCUUGUUGGUGGGGUGAUGGCCUACCAAGGCGACGACGGGUAGCCGGCCUGAGAAGGGCGACCGGCCACACUGGGACUGAGACACGGCCC